ACGAGCGGCGGAAGGGUGAGUCACGCGUAGGAAUUGCCUAGUAGUCGGGGGAAAACUGUCGGAUACGCAUGCUAACCCGCAUACGCCCUACGGGGGAAUGGUGGGGAUCCCUCGGACUCCUCGUCUUAGAUGAGCCUGCGUGAGAUUAGCUAGUUGGUGGGGUAAAGGCCUACAAGGCGACGAUCUUAGCUGGUCUGAGAGGAUGAUCAGCCACAUGGGAUGAGACACGGCCAGAUCCUACGGGAGGCAGCAGUGGGGAACUUGGACAUGGGCGCAAGCUCGACCCAGCCACGCCGCGUGUGUGAAGAAGGCCUUAGGGUUGUAAAGCACCCUCAGGAGUGAGGAAGGGCGUGCCGUUAAUACCGGUUGUCUUCGACGUUAACUCCAGAAGAAGCACCGGCUAACUCUGUGCCAGCAGCCGCGGUAAUACAGAGGGUGCGAGCGUUUAAUCGGAAUUACUGGGGCGUAAAGCGCGCGUAGGCGGUUUUGUUAAGUCGGAUGUGAAAUCCCAGGGCUUCAACCUUUGGAAUGGCACCCGAUACUGGCAGGCUAGAGUACGGUAGAGGGGUGUGGAAUUCUCCUGUGUAGCGGUGAAAUGCGUAGAUAUAGGAAGGAACAUCAGUGGCGAAGGCGACACCCUGGACCGAUACUGACGCUGAGGUGCGAAAGCGUG
RNAcentral lists this ribosomal RNA (673 nucleotides) under uncultured bacterium. RNAcentral describes it as "bacterial SSU rRNA". It matches the Rfam family "Bacterial small subunit ribosomal RNA", at positions 91 to 763 of the family's 1533-position model. The record is from RNAcentral.